This 465-nucleotide ribosomal RNA is filed under the name uncultured bacterium. RNAcentral describes it as "partial 16S ribosomal RNA". It matches the Rfam family "Bacterial small subunit ribosomal RNA", at positions 28 to 506 of the family's 1533-position model. The record is from RNAcentral.
GAUGAACGCUGGCGGCGUGCUUAACACAUGCAAGUCGAACGAUGAAGCCCAGCUUGCUGGGUGGAUUAGUGGCGAACGGGUGAGUAACACGUGAGUAACCUGCCCUUGACUCUGGGAUAAGCCUGGGAAACUGGGUCUAAUACUGGAUAUGACUUCUCAUCGCAUGGUGGGGGGUGGAAAGAUUUAUUGGUCUUGGAUGGACUCGCGGCCUAUCAGCUUGUUGGUGAGGUAAUGGCUCACCAAGGCGACGACGGGUAGCCGGCCUGAGAGGGUGACCGGCCACACUGGGACUGAGACACGGCCCAGACUCCUACGGGAGGCAGCAGUGGGGAAUAUUGCACAAUGGGCGCAAGCCUGAUGCAGCGACGCCGCGUGAGGGAUGACGGCCUUCGGGUUGUAAACCUCUUUCAGUAGGGAAGAAGCGAGAGUGACGGUACCUGCAGAAGAAGCGCCGGCGAACUACGU